This 68-nucleotide transfer RNA is filed under the name Camelus bactrianus (Bactrian camel). The record is from Rfam by way of RNAcentral. Lineage: Eukaryota; Metazoa; Chordata; Mammalia; Artiodactyla; Camelidae. RNAcentral also lists the same sequence under 1 other name.
AGGUAUAAGUCAGUGGUAGAGUGUGUGCUUAGCAUGCACAGGGUCCUGGGGUUCAAUUCCCGGUGCCU